CGAACGAAGCCAUGGCGGCGGAACUUUUCGGAGGGUAAGGCGGCAUGGACUUAGUGGCGGACGGGUGAGUAACGCGUGGGUAACCUGCCCUGUACAGGGGGACAACAGUUGGAAACGACUGCUAAUACCGCAUAAGCCUGCGGGGCCGCAUGGCCCGGCAGGGAAAACUCCGGUGGUACAGGAUGGGCCCGCGUCUGAUUAGCCAGUUGGCGGGGUAACGGCCCACCAAAGCGACGAUCAGUAGCCGGCUUGAGAGAGUGAACGGCCACAUUGGGACUGAGACACGGCCCAAACUCCUACGGGAGGCAGCAGUGGGGAAUAUUGCACAAUGGGGGGAAUUCCUGAUGCAGCAACCCCGCGUGAGUGAAGAAGUAUCCCGGUAUGUAAAGCUCUUUCUUUAUGGAAGAAAAUGACGGAACCUGACUAAACAAGCACCGGCUAAAUACGUGCCAGCAGCCGCGGUAAUACGUAUGGUGCAAGCGUUAUCCGGAUUUACUGGGUGUAAAGGGAGCGCAGGCGGCGCGGCAAGUCAGAUGUGAAAGCCCGGGGCUCAACCCCGGGACUGCAUUUGAAACUGCCGGGCUAGAGUGUCGGAGAGGCAAGUGGAAUUCCUAGUGUAGCGGUGAAAUGCGUAGUUUUUAGGAGGAACACCAGUGGCGAAGGCGGCUUGCUGGACGAUCACUGACGCUGAGGCUCGAAAGCGUGGG
Molecule: ribosomal RNA, 707 nt
Filed under: uncultured bacterium
Lineage: Bacteria
Description: bacterial SSU rRNA
Rfam family: Bacterial small subunit ribosomal RNA
Source: RNAcentral